This is a long non-coding RNA of Numida meleagris (helmeted guineafowl), 1550 nucleotides long. NCBI's taxonomy places the organism in Eukaryota, Metazoa, Chordata, Aves, Galliformes, Numididae. The record is from Ensembl.
AUGGUGCCCAGAACUAUAGAAAAAAUGAACCAGGGAGUGAAGGAAAUAGUCCAAAAAGAGGAAGACCUGAUGAAAAAUACAUCCCAGCAAAUCACUGGGAUGCUUCAGAGGACAACACGAGAAGAGUCAAAAACGUCUGGGAGAAGCUCAAACUUGCCUGAGGAUAACUGCAAAGCCAUGGAAAGGGAUAUUGUAAUACCUGAAAAGGCCUCAAGUGACUUUGCAGCGAAAGCAGAUGGAGGAGCCUCUGGGGUACAAAGUGAAAGGAAAGCCACUCUGCUCCAGCAGCAGCCAUGUUGUUUGAGACACAAUUUGGGAUGUGAUGAGGAAGCAACCCAGGAAAGCCAUCUCUUCUCAAGGUUCACCAUCCAUUAAGAAGCUCAUCUUUAAUUCAGGUUUUCUGUAACAUGAAACUCAGUGAUACACAAGUACACUUAGUAACUAUGUAGGGCAAAAGAUCAAAACACUCCUGAAAUUUGCAAGAGUCAUAUUCUUGAUCAUUGUUAUGAAAUAGCCCUUGUUUCAUAACAGGGGUCUAAUCUUAUCACUGCUAAUCCUAAAUCUCAGUUUGUCCAAACAACAGCACUGUUGUUUCUACAGUUGCAACACAGCUUGCCCCCAUUUUGGUAUGUUUUUUAAUUAAUUAAAUCACACCUAAUGUAGUUGUAAAAGAUGGGAUCAGGCUUUCUUAAAAGUGUAAGUAACUUUGUCCAGAGAAGGAUGACAGAAGACAACUACACAUUGUGGUAAGGGCUGAAUGGUGCCAUCUGCUUUAAUAUUUUCCAGUUACAGCUGUUCUGACCAUUCAGAACAAAAUUAAGACUGAAUCUAAAAUAUUUUUUAAAUUAAAAUUUGGUCAUUGAGCACAAAGAAAUUGAGACAACUGUAACAGCUUCUGGGAAUCUGCUCAUCUGGGAGUUAAUUAGAAAAGAAUGACAUUUCUCCCAUUCAUCUACAAAAGUUAAUGUUGUGAUUGAUUAUUCUUGAACUAGCACUAAACAGCCAAGGAGACCUCACAGCCAGUCUGUGGAGUCUUCAGUGUCACAAGUAUACGUAACCUUUUUGUGAACAUGUGCCAAGGUUUAUCCUACUCCAGUGAGUGCAGACCACGUGUAGAGCAGUUUCCACUUUCAGCUAUUCAUCACAUUAAUGCGAUGUCCUGAGGCUCAGGCCUGGCCACCACACAAACAUGCAGUGGUGUGCUCCUAUCACUCCUAUUUGUUUAAAACUUCUUUAAACAGCUUAAAACAAAACAAAUGCAGCAAAGUGAAUAUCAGCACAAGGAUUUAGAUCAGUGCUUCACCAGCAUCCUUCAUUCCAGCUGACCGCUGCCCAUCAUAUAAUGCAGUCCAGAUCAAUAUCAGAAAUAACUGAGCAACCUGUAGAGCUAAAACAGACCUGAGUAAUAUUCUUGUGAGCUUUCCAAUUCAGGUGAAGACAGUUCUCAUAAACACAGGGCAACUCCAUGUUCCUUUCCAACACUCCCCACAAGCUCCGCUUUACUGUUUAUUCUUCUAAAUAAAUAAGCAAAAAUACUUCUGUCUUUACCA